Pan troglodytes (chimpanzee) is the source of this 684-nucleotide long non-coding RNA. RefSeq annotates it as long intergenic non-protein coding RNA 2991. The transcript has 2 exons. NCBI's taxonomy places the organism in Eukaryota, Metazoa, Chordata, Mammalia, Primates, Hominidae. The record is from RefSeq and is a predicted model, not a curated record.
GGUUCUCCAGAGAAAUGGAGUUAGAGAUGCAUUGCUAUAAGAAAUGGAAUGGGCUCGCAUGAUUACAGAGGCUGAGGGGUCCUACACCCUGUCGUCUGCAAGCUGGAAAGGUAGGAGAGUCUGUGCUGCAGCCCUAGCCAGAGCCUGGAGGCCCGAGAACCAGGCACGCCGACGACAGCACACUUCCAGCCUGAGAGCAAGAGAAGGUCGGUGUUCCAGCUCCAGCAGGCUGGCAGAGGGAGGGUUCUCUCUCCACCUUUGUGUUCUACCCAGGUCUUCAAUGGGUUGGAUGAGGCCCAUCCACAUUGCGAGGGCGUCUGCUUCACUGAAUCUACCGUCACACCUGCUUCUCUUGGAUGCCGUCCGAUUGCAGAGACGCUGUGCCCUUGAGGGUUCCUGCCCCACCGUGUGUGCUGGUGCUAGGAUGUCUGCCCUGGUCCAGACCUGCACCCCUGAGUCAGAGGCUCUUACUCUGGGUUCAAUCGAGAAGGUUAUUUGGCCCCCACACAAAGCUAAGACUUUCACCUUGGCAUUUGUUAGGAAUUCUUUCCUGAAGUUGGACAGUUUGGCCAUGUUCAAGCCUCUGAAUUCUUCCAUAGAAUUGUCUUCUGGAAAUCAUGCCACAGUAAUUUAAGUCUCCCCAGCUGUGUGUGUGAGGGCUUCCUACCCUCUUGGGCAUGGAGG